GAACAGUAGCUUAGUGGUAGAGUGCAUUUUUAGUAUGCAUGAGGCCCUGGGUUCAAUUCCCAGCAUCA
RNAcentral lists this transfer RNA (68 nucleotides) under Marmota monax (woodchuck). Its description in RNAcentral is "tRNA.Thr". The stretch from base 6 to 64 matches the Rfam family "tRNA", at positions 7 to 64 of the family's 71-position model. Rfam says of the family: Transfer RNA (tRNA) molecules are approximately 80 nucleotides in length. Their secondary structure includes four short double-helical elements and three loops (D, anti-codon, and T loops). The record is from RNAcentral. Lineage: Eukaryota; Metazoa; Chordata; Mammalia; Rodentia; Sciuridae.